This 331-nucleotide ribosomal RNA is filed under the name Circinaria weii. RNAcentral's name for it is "eukaryotic LSU rRNA". It matches the Rfam family "Eukaryotic large subunit ribosomal RNA", at positions 1 to 369 of the family's 3401-position model. The record is from RNAcentral. Lineage: Eukaryota; Fungi; Ascomycota; Lecanoromycetes; Pertusariales; Megasporaceae.
AACUUCGGAUCAGGGAAGGGAUUCCCCGCUUAAACUUAAGCAUAUCAAUAAGCGGAAGGGAAAGAAAAACCAACAGGGGAUUGCCUCAAGUAACGGCGGAGUGAGGCGGCAACAGCUCAAAUUUUAGAAAUCUGGCUUUCGGGCCCGAGUGGUAAUUUGUAAGAGGGAAGUCUCGAAGGCGGCUCGGCUAAGUCCUGAACGGGGCGUCAUAGAGGGUGAGAUUCCGUAGUGCGGCCGUCAUCAAUGGCAUCUCGACAGUCAGUGUGGAUGCACCUAAAUGGUGAUCACUAGCUAAUCGCAGAUGAAUGCCAGUAGAUCGAGGAAGCUGGAA